Molecule: ribosomal RNA, 378 nt
Filed under: uncultured eukaryote
Lineage: Eukaryota
Description: SSU rRNA
Rfam family: Eukaryotic small subunit ribosomal RNA
Source: RNAcentral
AGCUCCAAUAGCGUAUAUUAAAGUUGUUGCAGUUAAAAAGCUCGUAGUUGGACUUCUGGUUUAGAUUUGCGGUCCACCGCAAGGUGAGCACUGUAAGUUUGGACCAUCCUCUCGGAGGCGGUGAGUGCCAUUAACUUGGUGUUUAUCGAACCCGAGACCUUUACUUUGAAAAAAUUAGAGUGUUCAAAGCAGGCCUACGCUUGAAUACAUUAGCAUGGAAUAAUGGAAUAGGACUUUGGUUCUAUUUUGUUGGUUUCUAGGACCGAAGUAAUGAUUAAUAGGGACAGUUGGGGGCAUUCGUAUUUAAUUGUCAGAGGUGAAAUUCUUGGAUUUAUGAAAGACGAACUACUGCGAAAGCAUUUGCCAAGGAUGUUUUCA